Long non-coding RNA from Numida meleagris (helmeted guineafowl), 1475 nucleotides. RefSeq lists it as uncharacterized. The transcript is spliced from 3 exons. NCBI's taxonomy places the organism in Eukaryota, Metazoa, Chordata, Aves, Galliformes, Numididae. The record is from RefSeq and is a predicted model, not a curated record.
UUUGGACCUGGGCUGCUUCUUGAGGAGUGCUGUAUAGCUAGAGAGCCUCUUCACCAGGUUGGAUUACAGCAGUCAUUUGCUGAAGUUUAAUAAACAAGAAGCCUUUUCUUGUAAGCAGAACUUAAUUUGAAAUGGAAUGAUUUAGAGAGAACAUCACUGUGUCCUUCCGACAUAAGAUGAACCAUCACUUUCGUGCCUAUUGAUCCAGUUUAAUUUCUAUGGCAAGCUCUCAUCAGACCAUUGGAGCAUGGCAUGGAAAGCUUAAGUGCAGGCUCCACUGGGCAGGAGAGACCCAACUGUUACAUGUGUGAACAGCACUCAGCUGAGGAGUAAUGCACUCCCUGCUGGGCUCUUAAAUAUGGCUUUGUCUACAGCAAGAGAAGAUGGUGCUGCUUUGUUCUGUUUUAAUCAUCAGCCCCUCAAUUUUGCGAAUUUUAAAACCGUGCAAGCUGUCUGCAUUUAAGUCUAGCUAAUGGUUUUUUUCAUUGUUAAAGAAAAGUAGGUUGAAAUUAAAUAUCUCUAAGAUCUGUCAGUUUUCUUCCUGUGUUCCAGCUCUGCUUGGCACUGAUGGACAAAGAAUGCGUAUGAAAAUAAAAUCACCAGUGAAUAACACGUCUCUUUAAGAGAGCAUGUAAAGUCAGGAAGAGUCUUUCCAAUUUAUGAGUUUAAAGCAUGAAUAAUUUAACAACAUACUGGCACAAUGGAUAUUUAUUUGUGGUACUGUUCUGAGCAGACAAGAUCUAAAAAGGCUCAGAAAACAACCUUUCUUUUGUCUAUAAAGAUAAGAAUGAGAUUUACAAACAGACUUAAAGAAUUUAAGAGAACUUAUGCUUCUAUUUCCAUGCACUUCUUUUUCUGUAAAUGUUCUCCAGCAUCCUAUGUUGUUCCUAUGUACUUACAUUGGUUUGUCUUGAUGUGCCUUAUUUUCUGCCACUUUUUGAACACAGUAUGUGCUAAUAUUCUGGAUGUAGCACUUGAAAAACACACAGUGGCUGUUUUAAUUAUAAAUAUAACUUUCUGCAAUGAAGAAUUAAAUCCCACAUCCUUAGCCAAAAGGCUAGCUUUUCUGUAAUCGGGCCUACAGCUUGAGCUCUUUUUUUGGUCUGCACAAAGCAAAUGAUGAUUGUCUCCCCCUGGAAUCAGCCUCUGGAGGAAAGAUGGGGGUGGAUGCAGAGGAUAGUGGAGUUAAUUUCCUGUAAAUAGGAUUAGGGAACGUGAUGACUUCUGUCAUCGUGCAAUGCUCAAACUCCCCCACGCAACUCAGGAUCUCUAUUUUCUCUCUGUUCUCAGAUGUAACGGUAUGAAGUGGUACUCAGGCUCCUAAAUCUCGGAGUUGCUUUUCUGAGUUUGAAAGCAGCUUAUGGAGGGACAGGACAGAAUGGAGACAUGUUCAUAUACAGCCCCAUGCCUGAGUACUAUACUUUGUAGUUAGUGUACCACAAGUUUAAGGCAAACCUGAGUGCAUGCAAAUUUAG